GUGCCCGUACCGCAAACCGACACAGGUAGUCAAGAUGAGAAUUCUAAGGUGAGCGAGCGAACUCUCGUUAAGGAACUCGGCAAAAUGACCCCGUAACUUCGGGAGAAGGGGUGCUCUUUAGGGUGCAAGCCCAGAAGAGCCGCAGUGAAUAGGCCCAAGCGACUGUUUAUCAAAAACACAGGUCUCUGCUAAACCGUAAGGUGAUGUAUAGGGGCUGACGCCUGCCCGGUGCUGGAAGGUUAAGAGGAGUGGUUAGCUUCUGCGAAGCUACGAAUCGAAGCCCCAGUAAACGGCGGCCGUAACUAUAACGGUCCUAAGGUAGCGAAAUUCCUUGUCGGGUAAGUUCCGACCCGCACGAAAGGCGUAACGAUUUGGGCACUGUCUCAACGAGAGACUCGGUGAAAUCAUAGUACCUGUGAAGAUGCAGGUUACCCGCGACAGGACGGAAAGACCCCGUGGAGCUUUACUGUAGCCUGAUAUUGAAAUUCGGCACAGCUUGUACAGGAUAGGUAGGAGCCUUUGAAACGUGAGCGCUAGCUUACGUGGAGGCGUUGGUGGGAUACUACCCUAGCUGUGUUGGCUUUCUAACCCGCACCACUUAUCGUGGUGGGAGACAGUGUCAGGCGGGCAGUUUGACUGGGGCGGUCGCCUCCUAAAAGGUAACGGAGGCGCUCAAAGGUUCCCUCAGAAUGGUUGGAAAUCAUUCAUAGAGUGUAAAGGCAUAAGGGAGCUUGACUGCGAGACCUACAAGUCGAGCAGGGUCGAAAGACGGACUUAGUGAUCCGGUGGUUCCGCAUGGAAGGGCCAUCGCUCAACGGAUAAAAGCUACCCCGGGGAUAACAGGCUUAUCUCCCCCAAGAGUUCACAUCGACGGGGAGGUUUGGCACCUCGAUGUCGGCUCAUCGCAUCCUGGGGCUGUAGUCGGUCCCAAGGGUUGGGCUGUUCGCCCAUUAAAGCGGUACGCGAGCUGGGUUCAGAACGUCGUGAGACAGUUCGGUCCCUAUCCGUCGUGGGCGUAGGAAAUUUGAGAGGAGCUGUCCUUAGUACGAGAGGACCGGGAUGGACAUACCUCUGGUGUACCAGUUGUCGUGCCAACGGCAUAGCUGGGUAGCUAUGUAUGGACGGGAUAAGUGCUGAAAGCAUCUAAGCAUGAAGCCCCCCUCAAGAUGAGAUUUCCCAACUUCGGUUAUAAGAUCCCUCAGAGAUGAUGAGGUUAAUAGGUUCGAGGUGGAAGCGUGGUGACACGUGGAGCUGACGAAUACUAAUCGAUCGAAGACUUAAUCAA
Molecule: ribosomal RNA, 1285 nt
Filed under: Staphylococcus haemolyticus
Lineage: Bacteria; Bacillati; Bacillota; Bacilli; Caryophanales; Staphylococcaceae
Description: bacterial LSU rRNA
Rfam family: Bacterial large subunit ribosomal RNA
Source: RNAcentral